This 22-nucleotide unclassified non-coding RNA is filed under the name Mus musculus (house mouse). RNAcentral describes it as "oocyte_clustered_small_RNA7349". The record is from RNAcentral. Lineage: Eukaryota; Metazoa; Chordata; Mammalia; Rodentia; Muridae.
UGGUCUGUUGUGAGUUCUUGGG